UACGUAGGGUGCGAGCGUUGUCCGGAAUUACUGGGCGUAAAGAGCUCGUAGGUGGUUUGUCGCGUUGUUCGUGAAAACUCACAGCUCAACUGUGGGCGUGCGGGCGAUACGGGCAGACUGGAGUACUGCAGGGGAGACUGGAAUUCCUGGUGUAGCGGUGGAAUGCGCAGAUAUCAGGAGGAACACCCGUGGCGAAGGCGGUUCUCUGGGACGGUACUGACGCUGAGACGCGAAAGCGUGGGGAGCGAACAGG
RNAcentral lists this ribosomal RNA (253 nucleotides) under uncultured bacterium. RNAcentral describes it as "partial 16S ribosomal RNA". It matches the Rfam family "Bacterial small subunit ribosomal RNA", at positions 524 to 776 of the family's 1533-position model. The record is from RNAcentral.